RNAcentral lists this ribosomal RNA (463 nucleotides) under uncultured bacterium. RNAcentral describes it as "partial 16S ribosomal RNA". It matches the Rfam family "Bacterial small subunit ribosomal RNA", at positions 28 to 507 of the family's 1533-position model. The record is from RNAcentral.
GACGAACGCUGGCGGCGCGCCUAACACAUGCAAGUCGAACGGUGAAGAGGAGCUUGCUCGUCGGGACAGUGGGGGACGGGGGAGUAACACAUGAGCAACCCGGCUCUAAGAGGGGGACAACAGUUGGAAAAGACUGCUAAUACAGCAUGACGGAUCGGGUUGGCAUCUUCGUGGUACGAAAGGUUUUGUCGCUUAGGGAUGGGCUCGCGGCUGAUUAGCUUGUUGGUGGGGUAACGGCCCACCAAGGCGACGACGCGUAGCCGGGCUGAGAGGGUGAACGGCCACAUUUGGGCUGCGACCCGGCCCCGUCCCCUACGCAGAGCAGCAGUGUGUUAUAUUGUACGAUGGGGGCAACCCUGAUCCAGCGACGCCGCGUGAGGGAACAAGGUUUUCGGAUUGUAAUCCUCCGUUUACCGAGAAAAAAAUGAUGGUAACCGGUUAGAAAGCCACGGCUAACUACGUG